AGAGUUUGAUCCUGGCUCAGAAUCAACACUGGCGGCGUGCCUAACACAUGCAAGUCGAGCGCGAAAGCGGGGCAACUCGCAAGUAGAGCGGCGAACGGGUGAGUAACGCGUGGGUGAUCUGCCUUCGAGUGGGGAACAACACCGGGAAACUGGUGCUAAUACCGCAUGACAUCUUCGGGUCACACCGGAGAUCAAAGCCGGGGACCGCAAGGCCUGGCGCUUGAAGAGGAGCCCGCGUCCGAUUAGCUAGUUGGCGGGGUAACGGCCCACCAAGGCAACGAUCGGUAGCCGGCCUGAGAGGGCGGACGGCCACACUGGGACUGAGACACGGCCCAGACUCCUACGGGAGGCAGCAGUGGGGAAUUUUUCGCAAUGGGCGCAAGCCUGACGAAGCAACGCCGCGUGGGGGAUGAAGGUCUUCGGAUCGUAAACCCCUGUCGACCGGGACGAAAGCAUCCGACCUAAUACGUCGAGGUGUUGACUGUACCGGUGGAGGAAGCCACGGCUAACUCUGUGCCAGCAGCCGCGGUAAUACAGAGGUGGCAAGCGUUGUUCGGAAUUACUGGGCGUAAAGGGCGCGUAGGCGGUUUCGUAAGUCCCGUGUGAAAGCCCCCGGCUCAACUGGGGAAUUGCACGGGAAACUGCGAGGCUUGAGUUCGGGAGAGGGAAGCGGAAUUCCGGGUGUAGCGGUGAAAUGCGUAGAUAUCCGGAGGAACACCGGUGGCGAAAGCGGCUUCCUGGACCGACACUGACGCUGAGGCGCGAAAGCUAGGGGAGCAAACGGGAUUAGAUACCCCGGUAGUCCUAGCUGUAAACGAUGAGCGCUGGGUGUAGGGGGUUUUAACCCCCCCUGUGCCGAAGCUAACGCAUUAAGCGCUCCGCCUGGGGAGUACGGUCGCAGGCUGAAACUCAAGGAUUGACGGGGGCCGCACAGCGGUGGAGCAUGGUGGUUCAAUUCGACGCACGCCGAAGAACCUUACCGGGGUUUGAA
This 991-nucleotide ribosomal RNA is filed under the name uncultured bacterium. RNAcentral's name for it is "bacterial SSU rRNA". It matches the Rfam family "Bacterial small subunit ribosomal RNA", at positions 8 to 985 of the family's 1533-position model. The record is from RNAcentral.